Molecule: ribosomal RNA, 520 nt
Filed under: uncultured Glomus
Lineage: Eukaryota; Fungi; Glomeromycota; Glomeromycetes; Glomerales; Glomeraceae
Description: SSU rRNA
Rfam family: Eukaryotic small subunit ribosomal RNA
Source: RNAcentral
AGCAGCCGCGGUAAUUCCAGCUCCAAUAGCGUAUAUUAAAGUUGUUGCAGUUAAAAGCUCGUAGUUGAAUUUCGGGGUUAGUAGGUUGGUCAUGCCUCUGGUAUGUACUGGUCUCACUGAUUCCUCCUUCCUGAUGAACCUUAAUGCCAUUUAUUUGGUGUUUUGGGGAAUUUGGACUGUUACUUUGAAAAAUUAGAGUGUUUAAAGCAAGCUAACGCUUGAAUACAUUAGCAUGGAAUAAUGAAAUAGGACGUUCGAUCCUAUUUUGUUGGUUUCUAGGAUUGACGUAAUGAUUAAUAGGGAUAGUUGGGGGCAUUAGUAUUCAAUUGUCAGAGGUGAAAUUCUUGGAUUUAUUGAAGACUAACUACUGCGAAAGCAUUUUGCCAAGGAUGUUUUCAUUAAUCAAGAACGAAAGUUAGGGGAUCGAAGACGAUCAGAUACCGUCGUAGUCUUAACCAUAAACUAUGCCGACUAGGGAUCGGAUGAUGUUAAUUUUUUAAUGACUCAUUCGGCGCCUUAC